UAAAUAAAUAUUUACCAUGUAGCACUUUUCUUUUUGUAACAAUGUAUAUCGUCGUUUCCAUGAAAACCAAUUUUUAAAUUCUCAAACUUCAAAAUAUUUGACAUAGGCAUAUUCAUAUAAAGCAUGGAAAUUAGUUUUGCUGACUGCUAGUGAGAGAUUUAAACGGUUAGUGGACGUAAACUCUGUCAUAGUCUAUGAUUCGGAAUUUCACCAUCUCAUCGCUAAGGGACCACGAGGAUCAGCCUGUCACCUCUUCUAAAAGCAUACAGGUUUACUUUACGUUCUCAAUGGGAGGAACUUCAGUACCGUAAGUCUUUGAAACAUGUCAGAUAUGAGUUUUCACGCCAUUCUGAAACAACUGUUUUGGUCACAUGUCUAGAUUGUUACAGCAUUAUGCCAUAAGUUUGAAAGAGAAAUAGGCAUCUUCUUGGUAUCAUAUUUGUGAUUCGAGAGUCUUGUUCUGAUUAUUUUCAGGUGGCCUCGGUCCUACGUUGAUCCGACGUCCUCUCUGUGACACUUCUCAUCAUAUAACACUUCUUCACGUGUGUUGCAAAACACGCAAAGUAUGAAAGUUGGUUGAAUGGAAAAAAGUGUGAAUGAGUGAGUGCGUGUAGAACUACAUUUAACUACGACAAAUAAUUCUUCACUACACAACACUUUCAGGGUGAUGCGGUCUAUGUGGCAGGAGGUCGCCCCACUUACACAAAUACACACACUACACAUACACUAGGUGGCCUCGGUCCUACGUUGAUCCGACGUCCUCUCUGUGACACUUCUCAUCAUAUAACACUUCUUCACGUGUGUUGCAAAACACGCAAAGUAUGAAAGUUGGUUGAAUGGAAAAAAAGUGUGAAUGAGUGAGUGCGUGUAGAACUGCAUUUAACUACGACAAAUAA
Long non-coding RNA from Homalodisca vitripennis (glassy-winged sharpshooter), 896 nucleotides. RefSeq lists it as uncharacterized. The record is from RefSeq and is a predicted model, not a curated record. The transcript is spliced from 4 exons. Lineage: Eukaryota; Metazoa; Arthropoda; Insecta; Hemiptera; Cicadellidae.